Molecule: ribosomal RNA, 481 nt
Filed under: uncultured bacterium
Lineage: Bacteria
Description: bacterial SSU rRNA
Rfam family: Bacterial small subunit ribosomal RNA
Source: RNAcentral
AGUUUGAUCCUGGCUCAGGACGACGCUGGCGGCGUGCUUAACACAUGCAAGUCGAACGGUGACGGAGGAGCUUGCUCCUCCUGAUCAGUGGCGAACGGGUGAGUAACACGUGAGUAACCUGCCCCAGACUCUGGAAUAACAGUUGGAAACAGCUGCUAAUACCGGAUACGAGACGGAGAGGCAUCUCUACCGUAUGGAAAGUUUUUCGGUCUGGGAUGGACUCGCGGCCUAUCAGCUUGUUGGUGAGGUAACGGCUCACCAAGGCGACGACGGGUAGCCGGCCUGAGAGGGCGACCGGCCACACUGGGACUGAGACACGGCCCAGACUCCUACGGGAGGCAGCAGUGGGGAAUCUUGCGCAAUGGGCGAAAGCCUGACGCAGCAACGCCGCGUGCGGGAUGACGGCCUUCGUGGUUGUAAACCGCUUUCAGCAGGGACGAAAAUGACGGUACCUGCAGAAGAAGCCCCGGCUAACUACGUG